GGGGUUGUAGCUCAGUGGUAGAGCGCUCUCCUAACAUGUGCGAGGCCCUGAGUUUGAUCCUCAGAACCACA
Molecule: transfer RNA, 71 nt
Filed under: Ictidomys tridecemlineatus (thirteen-lined ground squirrel)
Lineage: Eukaryota; Metazoa; Chordata; Mammalia; Rodentia; Sciuridae
Description: Spermophilus tridecemlineatus (thirteen-lined ground squirrel) tRNA
Rfam family: tRNA
About the family: Transfer RNA (tRNA) molecules are approximately 80 nucleotides in length.
Source: Rfam by way of RNAcentral